GAGUUCCGAAAUAAUUGAUUUUUGGAAGUUUUAAUUAUUUUAUAUAAGAAAAACGUUUUUUUGUGGUUGUUGGCACAUGGGUGGCUGAUGUUUUUGACCAAAGAAGUUAUGCUAGAGUUUUCAAAACAUGUGGGUAGAAAUUUGGAAUAAAUAAUAAUAUAUUUUAUUAAUUUAGUCUCCUUUGGCGUUCUAACAUUUUCCUAUAAAUAGAGGGCUAAGUUAGAAUUGAAAAUCACACCAGAAACUAAGUUUUCUCUCUUUCUCUCUCUAUAUUAUCGANNNN
RNAcentral lists this long non-coding RNA (283 nucleotides) under Panax ginseng (ginseng). RNAcentral's name for it is "long non-coding RNA (PGIN_LNC016326)". The record is from RNAcentral. Lineage: Eukaryota; Viridiplantae; Streptophyta; Magnoliopsida; Apiales; Araliaceae.